UAAGUUUUUGGUACUUGGUCAAUGGAAGGAAACACACAUAAAAAAAUCGACGAGAGAUUCAGGUGAAAAGAGAUACAAUCAGAGCUCUAGAAAAUUCGUACCCAACCCUGGUUACAUCUUGAGUGAUUGGAAGUGGUGGGUUUAAUGUUCUAAGCUACUGAAUUUCAUGGAGAUUUGGAAGUAAUUGACGCAGGGUUUUUUUGUUCUUGGUUUAUGAUGGAAGGUGUCUUCGGAUUCGAUAAGCGGGCCACGAGGGUUAAGGUUUGAAUUGUGAGUUGGGGUGGGAACAUGCAAAACUCUUUUAUAACCGUUAAUGUCUCUUUUCAAACUAUAUUUAUGCAUCUAAACAAACUCAUGCAUUGCUGGUUUUUAAUUCUCUAAAACCCUGUUGAUUCCUUUGGCCUUUCUUUCACUUAGAAAGGACCUAAAAUAUUGCUUUCCUGUAUGAAUGUUAUGGGAAACAAGAGUUUCCAUUUGUGGUAUAUAGGAACUCUUCUCCUCCAUUUAUAACUAUUUUCUUUCGAUCUUUUAUGCUAUGGAUAGGGCGAUACACCACAAUAUUACUAUCUUGGUGCUGAAAUUUGGCAUUAAAUAUUAUACGGUGUUUGAGGGAGGAGUAAAUUCCAUAUACGUGAUUGUUAUGUGUGUGUGUGUUGAUCUUCUUUAAACAUUUGGUGUACUUGAUUGUUUAUUUCAGUGGGUCAAAUGUUUAUCAA
Molecule: long non-coding RNA, 716 nt
Organism: Papaver somniferum (opium poppy)
Lineage: Eukaryota; Viridiplantae; Streptophyta; Magnoliopsida; Ranunculales; Papaveraceae
Exons: 2
Source: RefSeq, a predicted model, not a curated record